AAAGAAAGAUCCCCAGCAGCAGUACUGCGCACACACACACACACACACACACACUCGAAUAAGCAAACACACCCUCUCAGCUUCCUGCUAUGAUAAGUCUGGGCCCUUUGUGCCCCAUCGUUAGCAUAAACUCGAGCUGAUGGGGUCGAUGGAGGCUGAUCGUGGGUCGGGGAACGUUGCGCUUCGUCUGCUGUGUUAAAACCGGUUACCGAGAGAUCGGCCCAGCUUUGCAUGGGUUACGCUAAGGACCUCUGGAGGAACUGUCGAAUGUGGAGGCGUUCUGUAAUCUGCGAGGUCCUGAGUGUUCCUGCGUGUCUACGUAGACCUGUGCCGAGCGGUCGUCCCAAGAGGCGGUAAUACCAGACUUCUAUACGUCUAUACGACUUGGUUGCUCUGUAUGCUCUUUCACCCUAAUAGACUCCAUAUAGGACUUCCAGAGAUCCCUGUUAUUUGGGUGAUGGACCGUUCUCAGCCAUGAUACCUUCUAAUGAACACAACACUUGUGACCGUUGGGGGUCGAGGGCUUCGCUCGGGAGCCCGACAGUGCGGACCAGCGACCCAACCGGCAACCUUCCGAUUACUAGUCUGAUUACUUGACCACCGAGCUACGACUGCCCUGCCGCGAGUCGACUCUGGUGACUCUACCACACGCGAUGACAUCGACACGACCCACCGAACGGAGCCCGCCGGGCAGACCGACACCCCGCCGGAGUGACCGAAAUACAAACCCGAGCCGAUCCUCUCGGCUCCCGCGGCUCUCGCCGGCAGAGGUGAACGAAGGACGAUACGAGACGAGAGAUCGGACCGUUUGAAGACGAAGGAGAUCCGAUCGUCGACGAUCCUACUGGCCGACCGGACUACUUAAAUUACUCUCGAUGCUGUUCUAAGCAGAUACCCGUACCAUCGAGGCCAAGGACCGGCCCUUGGGAAUAAACGUAGCUCGCAUACCAGUAGUAACGGAAGACCAUGUAUCCAGCUCCUGCAGCAUCAAGCACUGACGAGCGAAUACCGGCACGGGUCUCUGGAGUGCGUCUUCUCGGUUCUUACUAAUUUUCUGACCGAUGAUUUGUUGUUAGCACCAUUAAAAGACUCAUUUUUA
Long non-coding RNA from Trichomycterus rosablanca, 1099 nucleotides. RefSeq lists it as uncharacterized. The transcript has 2 exons. The record is from RefSeq and is a predicted model, not a curated record. Lineage: Eukaryota; Metazoa; Chordata; Actinopteri; Siluriformes; Trichomycteridae.